RNAcentral lists this ribosomal RNA (444 nucleotides) under uncultured Helicobacteraceae bacterium. RNAcentral's name for it is "bacterial SSU rRNA". It matches the Rfam family "Bacterial small subunit ribosomal RNA", at positions 336 to 796 of the family's 1533-position model. Lineage: Bacteria; Pseudomonadati; Campylobacterota; Epsilonproteobacteria; Campylobacterales; Helicobacteraceae. The record is from RNAcentral.
UUCCUACGGGUGGCAGCAGUGGGGAAUUUUACACAAUGGGCGAAAGCCUGAUGUAGCAACGCCGCGUGGAGGAUGACGGAUUUAGGUCUGUAAACUCCUUUUAUAGGGGAAGAAAUUUGACGGUACCCUAUGAAUAAGCGCCGGCUAACUCCGUGCCAGCAGCCGCGGUAAUACGGGGGGCGCAAGCGUUACUCGGAAUCACUGGGCGUAAAGGGAGCGUAGGCGUUCUAUUAAGUCUCGAGUGAAAGCCUGCAGCCUAACUGCAGAACUGCUCGGGAAACUGAUAGAAUAGAGUAUGGAAGAGGUAGGUGGAAUUUCCAGUGUAGGGGUAAAAUCCGUAGAUAUUGGAAGGAAUACCAGAAGCGAAGGCGACCUACUGGGACAUUACUGACGCUGAGGCUCGAAAGCGUGGGGAGCAAACAGGAUUAGAUACCCUAGUAGUCG